This 20-nucleotide microRNA is filed under the name Monodelphis domestica (gray short-tailed opossum). RNAcentral's name for it is "mdo-miR-7337-3p". The record is from miRBase by way of RNAcentral. Lineage: Eukaryota; Metazoa; Chordata; Mammalia; Didelphimorphia; Didelphidae.
UAGUUAUCACGGAGACUUGG